GUCACGAGGAAAUGAAUGCGUCAGUGGUUGUGUCAGGGACACUGAGGGAGACAGAUGGUUUAUUUUUAUUAUUUUUUAUUUUCUGUCCAUCGUCAUAUUGUGCAUCUUCAAAAAAGUGACGCGGAUGUUCGCUACACUCGAACAGGCUUAUUUGCGGGUUUAGCCUACAGAUGGUACCAAUAUAUUGGAACAAUUUAAGUCCCAACGGAAUUGUAGAAUUGUUCAAUAGGGUUAGUACAUGUACACGUUAAAAUUAGGCAAAUGUCUACAUACAAGGAAUGUCUGUCUUUUCUGGGUAACUAAUUCACUACAAUAAAUGAAUGCAACCAAUGAAAAUAAAAAGACUUACUUGAACUAGUAAAAAAAAAGGGUCAAAAGAGAAAGUGAAACUGUUUCAAACUCAAACGUCAUUUUGAAGACGGAGGACAAGGAGGAUGCAGUAAAAAAAAAAAGGAAUAAAACUGGAUAAAAGAACGGAAGACUGUGCUGCAUGAAAAUCCCAGGAGGGCAGCUGUUUCUGUGAUGCUGGAACCACCACACCUGGCACCAUCCAUCUGGCACAGUCAAAGUCGCUUAGAUCACACAUUUUGCCCAUUCUUAUAGGCUAAUCUGGGUUGGAAGCCACUUGUGGUCCAGUCUGGUCUGGUGUGUUCCUGUCUCCUUAGAUAGGGGGUGCUGUUUUCUAAAAUGAGUCUCUCAGAGGAGCAGAGACCAAAGGAGGAACCCUCAGCACUGAGAGGAAGAGGGUCCAGGUAGAAAGAGCAGGGUCACCAGUACCCAGCUGUCUGUCUAUGAAGAGUGAUUGUUCAAUGGAACAUCCAAUCAAGUUCAGAGGAGAGUUCACAGAUGAUCAAAGGGUCCAGGUAGAAAGAGCAGGGUCACUAGUACCCAGCUGUCUGUCUAUGAAGAGUGAUCGUUCAAUGGAACAUCCAAUCAAGUUCAGAGGAGAGUUCACAGAUGAUCAAAGGGUCCAGGUAGAAAGAGCAGGGUCACCAGUACCCAGCUGUCUGUCUAUGAAGAGUGAUCGUUCAAUGGAACAUCCAAUCAAGUUCAGAGGAGAGUUCACAGAUGAUCAAAGGUAAUAAAACAGGUUCAAAUAGACAUUCUUGUGUAAUAAUACUUCAAUGUUUCUGACAGGUUU
Anguilla rostrata (American eel) is the source of this 1141-nucleotide long non-coding RNA. RefSeq lists it as uncharacterized. The record is from RefSeq and is a predicted model, not a curated record. The transcript is spliced from 6 exons. NCBI's taxonomy places the organism in Eukaryota, Metazoa, Chordata, Actinopteri, Anguilliformes, Anguillidae.